GUUGGGUAACACUAACUGGAGGACCGAACCGACUAAUGUUGAAAAAUUAGCGGAUGACCUGUGGCUGGGGGUGAAAGGCCAAUCAAACCGGGAGAUAGCUGGUUCUCCCCGAAAGCUAUUUAGGUAGCGCCUCGUGAAUUCAUCUCCGGGGGUAGAGCACUGUUUCGGCUAGGGGGCCAUCCCGGCUUACCAACCCGAUGCAAACUGCGAAUACCGGAGAAUGUUAUCACGGGAGACACACGGCGGGUGCUAACGUCCGUCGUGAAGAGGGAAACAACCCAGACCGCCAGCUAAGGUCCCAAAGUCAUGGUUAAGUGGGAAACGAUGUGGGAAGGCCCAGACAGCCAGGAUGUUGGCUUAGAAGCAGCCAUCAUUUAAAGAAAGCGUAAUAGCUCACUGGUCGAGUCGGCCUGCGCGGAAGAUGUAACGGGGCUAAACCAUGCACCGAAGCUGCGGCAGCGACACUGUGUGUUGUUGGGUAGGGGAGCGUUCUGUAAGCCUGUGAAGGUGUGUCGUGAGGCAUGCUGGAGGUAUCAGAAGUGCGAAUGCUGACAUAAGUAACGAUAAAGCGGGUGAAAAGCCCGCUCGCCGGAAGACCAAGGGUUCCUGUCCAACGUUAAUCGGGGCAGGGUGAGUCGACCCCUAAGGCGAGGCCGAAAGGCGUAGUCGAUGGGAAACGGGUUAAUAUUCCCGUACUUGGUGUUACUGCGAAGGGGGGACGGAGAAGGCUAUGUUGGCCGGGCGACGGUU
This 750-nucleotide ribosomal RNA is filed under the name Salmonella enterica subsp. enterica serovar Enteritidis. Its description in RNAcentral is "partial 23S ribosomal RNA". It matches the Rfam family "Bacterial large subunit ribosomal RNA", at positions 751 to 1503 of the family's 2925-position model. The record is from RNAcentral. Lineage: Bacteria; Pseudomonadati; Pseudomonadota; Gammaproteobacteria; Enterobacterales; Enterobacteriaceae.